RNAcentral lists this transfer RNA (94 nucleotides) under Caulobacter rhizosphaerae. RNAcentral's name for it is "tRNA-Leu". Lineage: Bacteria; Pseudomonadati; Pseudomonadota; Alphaproteobacteria; Caulobacterales; Caulobacteraceae. The record is from RNAcentral.
CUGGGAGAUGGGCUGGGUCAAGCCGCUGGUCGCCAAGGCCGAUCGCGGCCAGUCGGUCGCCGUCAUCGGCGCCGGUCCGGCCGGCCUGUCGGCC